UUUUUUUGUCUUAUUAAUGUCAAGAGAGAGAGAGAUAAAGGUAUGGAAGCUUAUUUCCACUACGUAUGAGAAAAUGUUAUGCAGAAUGAUCUCACAAUUACCUUCUUUUUAUCUCACAUCCUGUUAACACACUCUCCAGGAGUGGCCCAGCCCCGCUGAAAAGAAUACUUCACUUAGGUUAUAUUGCCUCGCAACACAUUGCUAGGUUUUUGUUGUGGAUUGAUUAUGGGAAACGGAAGCACAGAGUCACAACUGUUAAAUAUUAACUCGCAGGUGAAACGUACAGUCGCAAUUGUGUGAAAAUAACGAGAUUUUUAGAGCUGCUAUAACAUAAAACGGGAACCAACUUGAUUCUUGGAUGUUCCACAACAUUCAACAUAUUAAUAAAUGAGUAAAAAUCACAUAUUCUUUAAUGAAUUAAUAUCCCACUUCAUCUCAGGCCACAUCACACCACCCCACCAUUGAAUACUUUCCUAUAACAUGCUCCCAAAGUGCUUUAUUCCUUAAACAAAACCAUAUGUCCUUCUUCUAAUGAACUCACUCAAACAUUUUAAAAAGAAGUCAAACAUCAGAUAUCCACGAAGACUGUGGAAGCAAAUUGUAGUAGUAUCUGUGGUACCUGCUCCUCUUUCAAUGUUCAUAAGGUGUAGUCUGCUCUAGUUUUAGCUGUUCAUGUAUUGUUCUUGUUUAUUGAUAUGAUGUUUGGUUAUGCUAACUGUACCCCCCCCCCCCUCUAGUUGACUUAAUUUAACCAAUGUUACUUCAUUAAUUUUGUGACUUACAUACUGAUAUCUUUCUAGUUCUAGGUUCAAGUUUGCAGUAACUGUCUAAAAUAUGAUUUAGUAUAACCUAAUUAUGACAUGAAAUCCAUGUAAUUGCUUCAGAAUUGAAGUAUAAACACUGAAAUGCUUAUUUUACCAGCCUAAUGGCUUCACCUAACUGCAAAAUCUAUCACUGGCAAACAUGGCUGCGCUUCCACAGCACAGAACAGUGUAAACUUUAAAAAAAAAUUUUUUGUGACUAACCUCAUUAACACACCAUUCAUUUGAAAUUGAAGGUAACAUUUUAUUUAAAAAAAUAAUAAUAAUGUAACAUUACAGUUUCUGCAUAAACCGUGAUCAAAGUUGAACUUCAAACUUCUGCAGUGUUCAGAAAUAACUAGCAGUUAAGCCUUACGUACCAGAUGAGGUAGACGCUUCCCCUCUUCAGGAAAAUAAUUAAGCAGAAAUAUUUAACAUUAGCAAUGGAGUGUGGUUAAUUUUCUUAGUUAAAGCAGUUUUGUAUAUGAAAGUUCUACAAAAAUAAAGACUUUGUUAUUUAAAAAAGUAGUAUAUAUAUAUAUAUAUAUAUAUAUAUAUAUAUAUAUAUAUAUAAAAUACAUAUUUAAAUGGAUAUAAAAAAAAAGUUUUCAAUUUAAACAAAAGGGAUGUGGCUGUACACUACUAGUCAAACGUUUUGGAAAAACUAGGGCUUCUUAUGAUUACAUUACAUCCAUAUCACAGCACUGUUGAACUCUUGAUUCUGACUGGGUCAAGUUCUCCGACACAGGAAUGUCGGAAAAAUGAAGGACAUUGUACUUUGUCAGUAACAUGACACGUUUCAUUGUCUUAUUAACUUCAAGAGAGAGGACAAAAAGAGAUCCUGGUGAGAGAACUGGUUAUAGCUGUUACAAUUUAAACGAUACCAGGAACAAGCUAGUUGCAUGGAUGUUUCACCCCAUUAAAUGCAACUAUAAAUGGAUAAAAAUGAUGUGGAAAUUCACUAACAAAAAUAUACAUGAUUUGGAUUACAAAAAUAUGCAUUUUCGAAACUUUGACGGUUAAAGUAAAUGGUUCUGUUACGAUAGCCGUGAAAACCGUGCUCCAUAGUUAGGGAUAAAAACAACUUACAUUUUGUAAUAAGCGAAAAACCCCAAAACAAAACAAAACAAGCACCCUAACAUUUUGAAGUGAAAUAAAUAAAUAAAUAAAUAAAUCAAUCACAGAUGGUCUCUCUUUCUCUUCUUUUUGAGUUUUGCACUGUCGGUCCAUGAACACCAAUUUGACUUGCCAGAGACAGCGACUUUUUCAGCUCCGAGUGUGGCAUCUAGAUCAUUAUCUGGGUCUCUUACUUGCUUCUUUUUCUUAAUAUGUACUAAUAAUGCACCCCCUGAGGAUGAAAUACUGUCCUUUUUAGCAUGGCAUGUGUCUAAAGCAUCUCUUGAUUCUUCUGCAGCAAAUAGCUUAGGUACAACAUCUAAAAUCUGAUUCCCACCUCUAUCAACUGUGUCCUUUCUAUUCUUUUUCUUCUUCUCCUUCUCAAUUAUUGCUUCUGAAGGUUCUGAUGGAGAACCACUCUCCUGCCACAAUUCAUGUUCAACAAUCUCAGGAUACACUUCUAUGUCUGUUUCUACCCAUUGCUGCUUCUUCUUCUUCUUCUUCUUUUUCCUUCCAUUAGGCUGUAUGGUAUCCUCUGACUGCAGUACUUGUUGGCUACUUUCAGAACGGUCAUCUUUGGUCCUCUCACAUUUGUUUGUCUCAUUGGUGUCAUUUUGUCCACUACUUGAAGCUUCUUUCACUACUCUUGUCUGUUUAGUAUUUUGCCAAUGGGAGUCAUCCAGAUGCAACAAGCCGUGAGAAACCGACCACGAUCCAUCAUUUUCCAACUCUUUCCUUUUCCUCUUCUUUUUCUUCUUCUUCACUGGUUCUGAUCCACCAACACCUUCCUCCUCACCAAUCCCUCCAGUCUCACUUCUGGUGCUUGGGGUAUUGGAUGUUGUCAUCUCUAUGAGAUCAAGUCUGAGAGACACGGAUGCAUUUUUAGACGUCUCCUCUUCUUGAUGCGUUUUAAUUCUGCCCUUUUUCUUCUUUGGCUUUCUCACCAGAACCACCUCAGCUGCUUGCUGCUCAGAAUCUUGAGUAUUUGGAGCCUCCACUUGUUCUGUCGUCUCUACCAACAAUGCCUCAACGUCCAUAUUUUCUUCCCUGACCACCUUUUGCCGUUUCCUUUUUUUCCUCUUCUUCCUUUGAGUUAUAGAGUGAUCUGUCAAAUCUAUGCUAUUCACUGGUUGGAUUUCUAUGCCUGCUGGUAUUUCGGGGAUUUUCUCCAACGGUUCUCCAAUAUUCUUACUGGCCGUAGCCAUCUCUCCUACUUGUCCUUCUCCAACAUCAUCUAUAAACAUUUUCUUCUUUUUCUUGACAGUUUUGAUACCAUGGCUUGAAUAAGAUUCUUCACUACACUGCCAAGCCACGAUCUCAGUUAUCACAGGACUUGAAUCCUGUUUCGUCUUCGCCCUUUUCUUUUUCUUUUUCCUUUGUGGUUCAAGACAAUCAGACUGAACAAAAUUAGAAAGAUCAGUUCUGGUCAGCUGCUCAGUUUCCUCAGCUAUAGACACCAAAGAAGCUGAACCUUGACAGGGGAUCUGGAUAGCCUCCUCUACACCAAUCCAUUCAUCUUCCUGAGGCACUGGUUGACCAUGUUUGUCUUUUUUUCUCUUUUUCUUUGGUUUAAUUCCAUUCACUGAAGCACAAACCACUGAAGAGUCCUGAACUGAUAGACCAGAGUCUGCAGCAACACUGAUGUCUGGCAAGGUGUCAACUGGUUCCUCCAACAACCGAUAAUUUUUGUCCUUUUUACUCUUUGGUUUACUUCCACUAACUGAAGCACAAACCACUGAAGAGUCCUGAACUGACAGACUCGAGUCUGCAGCAACACUGAUGUCUGGCAAGGUGUCAACUGGUUCCUCCAACAACCGAUCAUUUUUGUCCUUUUUUCUCUUUUUCUUUGCUUUACUUCCACUAAUUGAAGCACAAACCACUGAAGAGUCCUGAACUGAUAGACUCGAGUCUGCAGCAACACUGAUGUCUGGCAAGGUGUCAACUGGUUCCUCCAACAACCAAUCAUUUUUGCCCUUUUUUCUCUUUGGUUUACUUCCACUAACUGAAGCACAAACCACUGAAGAGUCCUGAACUGACAGACUCGAGUCUGCAGCAACACUGAUGUCUGGCAAGGUGUCAACUGGUUCCUCCAACAACCGAUAAUUUUUGUCCUUUUUUCUCUUUUUCUUUUCUUUACUUCCACUAACUGAAGCACAAACCACUGAAGAGUCCUGAACUGAUAGACCAGAGUCUGCAGCAACACUGAUGUCUGGCAAGGUGUCAACUGGUUCCUCCAACAACCAAUCAUUUGUGCCCUUUUUUCUCUUUGGUUUACUUUCACUAACUGAAGCACAAACCACUGAAGAGUCCUGAACUAAUAGACCUGAGUCUGCAGCAAUACUGAUGUCUGGCAAGGUAUAAACUGUUUCCUCCAACAACCGAUCAUUUUUGACCUUUCUUCUUUUUUUACGCUUGACGUCAUCAAAGUGAAGUGCAGAAUAUUCAUUCUGACCCAAAUCAGCUUGUCUUGGUGCCAGGUUAUCUGAGAUCUCAGGGUCUUUAGUCUUUUUAUUUUUCUUCCUCUUCAGAAAUUUCAAUCCACCAAAAUUGAACAGUGGGGUCUCGGUCUUCUCUUCCUGUCUGACCAUGAGGAUAUCCUUACUACAACUUGAGUAAUCAUUUCCUAUGGAUCCUGAUUCGUAAUCCUCUAAUGGCAGUGAUGAAUGAUGGUGUGGAUCUUGCAUAUCCAAUGUCGUCUUGUCCUUUUCCUUUCUUACCUGGCAUAUAUCUCCAGCUGUUGGUGAGACUAUUUCACUCGGGUGAGUCCUCAGAGAUUUGGAAUAUUUAAGAAAGUCACCCUCCAUAUCUUCCAAGAUUAAUGAACCCUUUUUCUUUAUUAUCAAACCUAUGUCAUCAUGUGGUACUACAAUGCUUUCUAAGACUUCCUUAUCAUUUUCAACACUAGUCUCUUUUAAAGGACUUGAUUGAUUAUUUGGUUCUUGAAAAAGAUCCUGUGAGCUGAUGAAACCUCCACUAACACUACCAAAGUCUUCGUUUUCCAGUGGCUCGUGAUGUACGCUUUGAUGGAUAUCCUGGACUUGUACUUGGUGUUCACAGGAUGAGAUGUUCUCAAAGCAGAGUGCAUCUUCCUUUCCUUCUUUGUCCGUAGGGUUGUCCUGCAAAAUCUGGGUUUCGUUUCCAAGUGGCUCAUGAUGUACGCCUUGAUGGAUAUCCUGGACUUGUACUUGGUGUUCACAGGAUGAGAUGUUCUCCAAGCAGGGUGCAUCUUCCUUUCCUUCUUUGUCCGUAGGAUUGUCCUGCAAAAUCUGGGUUUCGUUUCCAAGUGGCUCAUGAUGUACGCCUUGAUGGAUAUCCUGGACUUGUACUUGGUGUUCACAGGAUGAGAUGUUCUCCAAGCAGGGUGCAUCUUCCCUUCCUUCUCUGUCCAUAGGGUUGUCCUGCAAAAUCUGGGUUUCGUCUUCAUCCUGGUCUACCAAAUUUGGCCGCUGCGUCUCCUCGUCUGACGUUUCAUCAAUUGGUUCCAUCCAGUUCCAUUCGGCAGAUUUCCUGCUUUUCUCACCGUUCUCCGUGGACCGAGACACUUCUAUAUUAAGUGAGCUGCUCUCAUUAUAUACAUCUGCAUCAUCUUGAGGCGCCAUCAGGUCUUCAGCAACUUUCCUGGUUUGAGAACACGUCUCCUGCUCCUCUUGACAUUUGUUGCUUUUCUUAGUGCACGUUUCUGGAGCCUGUCUCGUUUUCCAUUUCAGGGAUGGUAGCCAUGUUUGUUGGUUUCUUUUAUGUGUGUUCUCAAUAAAGCAAUCUUUAUCCUAAAACAAAAUCAGACAUAUUGAUUAACAAUAAUAAAAUGUCUGUUUGAUGGCUUGAGAGAAAACUAAAGAAUAACUAGAAAAGAAUGAAACAAUCAAUCAUGACGUUUCUGAAAAGUCAAAUGCUAAAACGACGAUGCAGAAUUACAAAUUUUGACUUCAAAACGGCAUUCAAAUGGAUCCUUGUUACUUGACGAACCUGCCACCCCUGAAGUCACAGAUACAAUGCAGUAAACAGUUUUUUUUUUAAACUUUCAGUCCCUCAAAGAAACCUUGAAAUGGUUCUAAAUGGCAGACAUUUUCACUGUUAAUCUGUUGCUGCUCAAAAAAGUGUUGCACUUACCAUUUAAGUUAUUUGUGAAGUGAUACAUUUGACAAAUUUUUGAACUUUUUCAGUCGAAAAAUUUGGUGUAUCCCUAAAUCACUAAUGCUUAAACUAAUGAGCAUUUGGUAGGAAACGGGGUGGGGCCAGCAAGGGUGUCAGUUAAAACUGCAACUGUCAGUAAUUCCAAAUUCAUAUGUUGAUUGGCUAAUUUGUGGUUUUAUUAGAUUUAUUUGCUCAUUUGCUGUUUUAUUAUUUUUUAAUUAUUAUUCAGGGUUUUUGUCCUAUUCAGUUUUUUGUUGCAUGGCAAAAAGUGAAAACAUCACAACUGUCAAAAUAUAACUGCAAAAUAUACCACUUUUUUAACGUCCUCAUCAUCAUCAUCAUCUUCUGUUUGCAUACUGCUUUCCUUCCGUCUGUAAAUUAAAUCCGAAAAAAGUCAAUAAAAGGACAGACGAAUAAAAUAGAUUAAUAUUGUGUAUUAAUAUGUUCACUCACCUCUUGACUGAAAUGAAAACAGCAAGAGUUUUCUGACAUGGAUUCAAUGUUUAUAACAUUCCUACCACAGCACUACUGUACUCGCAAUUCAGUUUUUUUGCAAGGUGUUGAUUCAUUUCAGCAGCUCCGAUUGUCUUUUCGGCUGCAAUUCCGACGACAGGUUUAUUUUAAUUUGCUCGUUCUAAUACGUUAUGAUAACAAAUGACACCAGGACUUGUAUGCUCGGACGCUCCACAUAAUUGUAACUGUUGAUAAAAUUUCUGUUAGAUGUCGAUUCAUUCAUUUAUUUAUGGAAGGAGUCACCGGUGGCAGCACUCUGUUUUCCACCACAGGAAAGUCUUCAGGACAGAAAAGAUCCUAGUUCCUCAGGAACAUGACAAAAUGAUCAACUUCAAGAAAGGUUGGUGAGGGGACUCAUGGACCUUCAAGAAUGUCAACCCUAACUAUAACUGGUUAAUAAGUACAUAAUUUAUUAGUAUACUGAGUAUAAUGUAAUCUUCGUUAUAGGAAAAUGAUCAACUUCACGGUCCUAACAGUAAGUCCUGCUUACUAAGGCUGCUCCACACCACUACAUUGUAGAUCUUUUUCCUCCAACAGCAUGGCCAAUGUCAAAUUACACGCUUCAACAGAAACAAAUAUAAAACCUACACAAUACUGUAUUCAUGUUUUGUAUAAUACAAUGGUAAACUCACUCAGAAAGCAAUAAAGAUGGACUCAGCUCUCCUCUUCUUUUGUCUCCAUGACCUUUGCUCAGCUUCAAUAUGCAUUUAAAGAACCCACCAACCUCUGAAUUCUGAUAGACGGAAAUAAAAUUAUAAAACGAUUACCUUCACCUUAUAUAGCUGGAACGAAAUGUAAUUUAUCUAAAAUUGAAGAAGAAGAAAAAAAGUUUCCAGACAUUUCCAUUUUCUGAGAAUGCACUUAAAUUGUUGCCAUUCCUUUAACAUUCGGCUGAUAGAUACAGUGCACUCCAUUAAUAUUGGCACCCUUGGUAUAUAUGAGCAAAGACGGCUGUGGUUGUGAUCUUUUGUUAAAAAAAAAAAAAAAAAAAAUUUCACAUAAAAAUACUCUGCUCUCAUGGAUAUCAAACAAUUGCACAAAAUAAGUUUAUCAAAAAAAUAACUUCUAUACAAUAUUUAUUUUUUUUUUAAUUAGAAUAUGUUAUAUACAAAAUAUACAAUGUGCAACAAUUAUUGGCACCACUAUGAGUUCAUGAGAAAAUAUAUUUUAAGUAUAUUCCCAUUGAUAUUUGAAAAAAAAAAAUUGUACAACAAAAUUUUUUUGGAUAAACCCGUGUCGUGUUUGCAAUCGUUUGAUAUCCAUGAGAGCAGAGUAUUUUUGUGAAUUUUUUAAACAAAAGAUCAAAAGUUUCAACAAUAAAGACAAUUUUUCACAGCCUUCUUUGCUCAUAUUUACCAAAGGUGCCAAUAUUAGUGGAGGGCACUCUAUAAGUCUAAAU
This is a long non-coding RNA of Ictalurus punctatus (channel catfish), 7962 nucleotides long. The record is from Ensembl. NCBI's taxonomy places the organism in Eukaryota, Metazoa, Chordata, Actinopteri, Siluriformes, Ictaluridae.